GAACAAUAAAAGUAUAGCAGCUACUGUAAGCAUGAACAUAAAUAUGAAUGUGUAAGCAGAAACUGUACACUAUGACUGGUGAUCAUUCAUUACUGUCCAAUGUCCUUUAGCACUUUUCUUUCAUUCACAGGGACCUACCCAAGGUAGUCCAGCUUGCGCCGCGCCUAAUGGCCCCGUGGUAGUAUACACUCCCCACGGCAAUCCACUUCGGCACCCAAUCCCGCACGGGCGA
This 232-nucleotide long non-coding RNA is filed under the name Ananas comosus (pineapple). Its description in RNAcentral is "long non-coding RNA (ACOM_LNC036009)". Lineage: Eukaryota; Viridiplantae; Streptophyta; Magnoliopsida; Poales; Bromeliaceae. The record is from RNAcentral.